This 440-nucleotide ribosomal RNA is filed under the name uncultured bacterium. Its description in RNAcentral is "partial 16S ribosomal RNA". It matches the Rfam family "Bacterial small subunit ribosomal RNA", at positions 338 to 795 of the family's 1533-position model. The record is from RNAcentral.
CCUACGGGAGGCAGCAGUAGGGAAUAUUGCUCAAUGGGGGAAACCCUGAAGCAGCAACGCCGCGUGGAGGAUGAAGGUUUUCGGAUUGUAAACUCCUUUUGUUAGAGAAGAUAAUGACGGUAUCUAACGAAUAAGCACCGGCUAACUACGUGCCAGCAGCCGCGGUAAUACGGAGGGUGCAAGCGUUACCCGGAAUCACUGGGCGUAAAGCGCGCGUAGGCGGGAUAGCAAGUCAGAUGUGAAAUGCUAUGGCUUAACCAUAGAACUGCAUUUGAAACUGUUAUUCUAGAGUAUGGGAGAGGUAGGUGGAAGUCUUGGUGUAGAGGUAAAAUCCGUAGAGAUCAAGAGGAAUACUCAUGGCGAAGGCGACCUGCUAGAACAUAACUGACGCUGAUGCGCGAAAGCGUGGGGAGCAAACAGGAUUAGAUACCCCUGUAGUC